Molecule: ribosomal RNA, 452 nt
Filed under: Proteus mirabilis
Lineage: Bacteria; Pseudomonadati; Pseudomonadota; Gammaproteobacteria; Enterobacterales; Morganellaceae
Description: bacterial SSU rRNA
Rfam family: Bacterial small subunit ribosomal RNA
Source: RNAcentral
UAAUUGAAGAGUUUGAUCAUGGCUCAGAUUGAACGCUGGCGGCAGGCCUAACACAUGCAAGUCGAGCGGUAACAGGAGAAAGCUUGCUUUCUUGCUGACGAGCGGCGGACGGGUGAGUAAUGUAUGGGGAUCUGCCCGAUAGAGGGGGAUAACUACUGGAAACGGUGGCUAAUACCGCAUAAUGUCUACGGACCAAAGCAGGGGCUCUUCGGACCUUGCACUAUCGGAUGAACCCAUAUGGGAUUAGCUAGUAGGUGGGGUAAAGGCUCACCUAGGCGACGAUCUCUAGCUGGUCUGAGAGGAUGAUCAGCCACACUGGGACUGAGACACGGCCCAGACUCCUACGGGAGGCAGCAGUGGGGAAUAUUGCACAAUGGGCGCAAGCCUGAUGCAGCCAUGCCGCGUGUAUGAAGAAGGCCUUAGGGUUGUAAAGUACUUUCAGCGGGGAGGAA